Molecule: ribosomal RNA, 253 nt
Filed under: uncultured bacterium
Lineage: Bacteria
Description: partial 16S ribosomal RNA
Rfam family: Bacterial small subunit ribosomal RNA
Source: RNAcentral
UACGUAGGGUGCGAGCGUUAAUCGGAAUUACUGGGCGUAAAGGGUGCGCAGGCGGUCCUGCAAGUCAGGCGUGAAAUCCCCGGGCUUAACCUGGGAAUGGCACUUGAAACUACGGGACUGGAGUAUGGCAGAGGGAGGUGGAAUUCCACGUGUAGCGGUGAAAUGCGUAGAGAUGUGGAGGAACACCGAUGGCGAAGGCAGCCUCCUGGGCCAAUACUGACGCUCAAGCACGAAAGCGUGGGGAGCAAACAGG